GAGUUUGAUCUUGGCUCAGGACUUAACGCUAGCGGCAGGGCCUAAGUACAUGACGAAGUCGAACGGGAGUUUCGGGUAGCAAUAUCUGAAUGAGAGUGGCGCACGGGUGCGUAACACGUAUGCAACCUACCUAUAACUGGGGGAUAGCCUCCCGAAAGGGAGAUUAAUACCGCAUAACAUUAUGAAGUGGCAUCACUUUAUAAUUAAACUUCAAGGGGUUAUAGAUGGGCAUGCGUCCGAUUAGCUAGUUGGUGAGGUAACGGCUCACCAAGGCUCCGAUCGGUAGGGGGUCUGAGAGGAUGAUCCCCCACACUGGUACUGAGACACGGACCAGACUCCUACGGGAGGCAGCAGUAAGGAAUAUUGGACAAUGGGCGCAAGCCUGAUCCAGCCAUGCCGCGUGAAGGAUGAAGGCCCUAUGGGUCGUAAACUUC
Molecule: ribosomal RNA, 434 nt
Filed under: uncultured Sphingobacterium sp.
Lineage: Bacteria; Pseudomonadati; Bacteroidota; Sphingobacteriia; Sphingobacteriales; Sphingobacteriaceae
Description: bacterial SSU rRNA
Rfam family: Bacterial small subunit ribosomal RNA
Source: RNAcentral